GGGCGUGAACUUUGGGGGAAAAAGUAUAACUUGGUGUAACCGAAUAAUGAAAGGGGAGCGCGAAGCUCAAAUCGUAUCGGUGUUCGUAUCGUGACUCUGGCUGGAUUCCCCUGCUCCCGGGACCCCCCCCUGCUACACGUGGCGCCCGAACGGCAGGGACCCGGGCAACAAUGGUGAGAAGAGGAUGCUGAAUGAGCCAAUGAUUUCUGCACAACACCCAGGCUUCUUCAGGAUAACAGUCAAGUGCCCAAGGACAGCAGAGCCACCUCUGGGGACUGACUGGGGAAAACAUCAGUGAAUGGUAAGGAGAUUAGAAGAUACUCUUUUUUUGCCUCUUUUUCAGCAGACUGGUUGGCCCUGUCUCUCACACUCUGCCUGUCUUUAGCAGAUGGAGCAUAUUUAUUAUUGCACUGGAGCUUUCCUGUAUUUAGCAAGAUGGUUAUGCCCACAGAAAGAGUGCUUUGUCAACUAGGACACAAAAGAGCAUCUGAGAAGUUUUACUCUACACCCUUGGUUUCAGAAACCUCUACCCAAGCUACAGAAACCAAAUCAAAGCAGUGAAUUGCAAAACUUUCCUCUUCAGACACAUGAGCAGACCCACUUUUCAUCACAUCACUUUUCCUGCUUCCAAAAGCAGGAUACUGCUUCAUCUGCAUUACACCAUCAUCUCCCCCAGAUGCUGAAGGAGAGAAAGGACACAACUUUUGGGCAAUGUUGUUCAAUCAGUUUCAGCCACUAGAAGGGUCAUACCCACACUGGAGCAUUCCCUGCUCCUUCCACCUCCUUAACUGUGGAAAUACCCAAGAACAAGGUCAUGAUUUCUGACGUGAGGGAGUGUGCCUGCAAGAGACCACCUACUCAACAAGCAGCAAAGACCAGAUCAGGAAAGUGAGUUUCCACCCUGUAUUUCAAGAGGGGACAGGUAAAGGGAUCUGCCCAUUGAUGCAGAUCCCAAGGAGAAGCUCUUUUCCCUCCCACAGCAAGGUCCCAGCCCCUCAGUUCAUUCCAAAGGGCUGCAGUUCAUUCUGCUGGAUCAGAUGUGGACUUGCAGAGCUCCCACCCAGCUUUCCAAAAUGUAUCUGCUGGCCUUUAAGAACAAGUCCAAGGUUUUCUGAAUACCAAUAAGCCACAAGGUUCUCCAGGGGCUGUUCUGUCUUCUGCCUUGCUCAGAUGAUGAGAAACACUAUCUGCUUCCCCCAGUUCUUAGGUUUUCCACAAAGGAGGGAGGCUUUUUGGUCCUGUAGGCAGGAGUGCCUGGGAUCCGUGCCCCUCUGAUGCUACUGAUGUAAGGCAAAAGCGGAGGCUCCCGCACCACCAGCGCAGUGCCCUUGGGAGUGUAGGCUCGGAGCAGCAAUUCCUCUUCCGCGUGAGCCGUCACUGCCACCCAGCCUGCAGAGCCAAAGAGAAUACGGACAGUGAGGAAGACAAGUCCCUAGGAUCAAAGUAAGGCUCUGACACAAACUACUGCCUCCCACAGUGCCUAAAACCCUGGGCUACCCACGUGUGGUUGCUUGAGAAACCAAGCUCAAAGGUCAUAUCCAGCCCUUUCCCAACAGAAGGCAGCACCUAAAGCCACAUGUUACUCUUCCCAAACACAGCUCUUUCCUGGUAAGCUUAAGAGGGAUGGUGGGAACUACCAAGAACACAAGAAUGAAGCUUUCCAGUCAAUGGCCCUUUCCCUCUCACCUGGACAGCUGACAGUGUCACAGCCAUUCCUGAUGCUAUAGAACCUGUAUGGCAGCCAGAGCAUAAACUAUUCCAAUGCUGCCAUCCUGUACAAGCAUGGCUGUCAAUCCCCAUUCCUGGAGGUUGCCAAGCUUCAGCUGGACAAAGUCAUGGCUGCUAUGAUUUUGUGUGGUUGAAAGUCCUGCUCUGAGCAGGAAAUACAGCUUCACCCCUUCAGAGGCUUCUUCCCAUCAACAUUUCUAGGAUGCAGACCCUGCAAAGCAAACUAAUGAAGAAAUAUUAAAUUACCUGCAGAGGAAAGCUUGAUAUCUGCAACUGCCUCAGUGGUAUCAAUUCCCUUCAGUGUAAUGUCCUGCGGGACAAGUGGGGGGAACUCUUUCAUUCUCUCUUCCCCACCCAUGGGAACCUAAGAUUAAAACACAGCGAAAAGAUUUAACAGUCAAAAGAUGCUUCAGCACCCCUACCUCAAACCAGCAAGCAAGGCACAAGGGGGAAUAAAGACAUCAGACAUUUGUUAGCCAAUUAAGAGCUGGUUUGAAUAACCUACAGGAGUUAUUUCAAGUUUGCCAGAACAGAGUCAGAAUUACAUCAGAGGAACCCUGGGGGAGGUGAGCAAAGAUGGAGUGCCCACUGCAGGAUGCAGCUGGUGGAUCAGGCCAGCUGCCUUGAUGUGAGUGACAGCACUUGUUCUCCGUGUGCACAGGAAUGGAAGUGUCAGGACAGGGACAGCUCACCCCCCUCUCCCAUCAAUCUGCAAGUGCUACACAGAACACUGCCAUACCAAGGAAAAAAUCAGACCACCAAGAGAUGAAGGUAUGUGCAGAAGAUCCAUCAGGCAAAGAAUAAAAAAGGCACAUUUUUCACCUGCUA
This is a long non-coding RNA of Corvus hawaiiensis (hawaiian crow), 2556 nucleotides long. RefSeq lists it as uncharacterized. The record is from RefSeq and is a predicted model, not a curated record. NCBI's taxonomy places the organism in Eukaryota, Metazoa, Chordata, Aves, Passeriformes, Corvidae. The transcript has 2 exons.